GGCACCCCAAUUAAACCGCUUAUUAUCGUACGUACGUCUACCAUACAUGUCUACCUCCUUCUUCUUUACAGAGAGUUCAAUGAGUUCUUUUUCUUUGUUCGUAAGCUUAAAAGUUGGAGUAGAUUUGCAUUUGGUUUAGUAUGUCCUCGAAGUUGUCAUUGGGUUUCUCUAUCGGAUGGCUAUGCAUUCCUUCGUAGGUCGUCACCACGAUGCUUUCGUCCCUCGACAGUCGCUGGACUUGCUUCUUCACGUUGCAACCUUGAUGCGUGCACCGGUAGUAGCUUCUGCAACCAGAUCAAGAAAACAUGCUGAGUCGAGUCGACAAUCAACUGCGAUACAUAACAUCGAGCAUCAUUUCAGCAUGGAAACGAAAAGAAAUGGAAACAAGUGUCGAAGCGGCAAAAGGGAGACGGAUCCAAGUUGCUAACUUGAUCGUCACUCACGCAACGAUCAACAAGUUUUUUGAUCUUUGGAGGAAUUCAAUUUCCUCCGACUUAGAUUUUUUACUUCUCGCAGACACUAAUGCAAUUGUUUCCUUUAGUCAAUAAAAUCCUCUAAUUUUCUUUUCGAAGAAAAAAAAAUUAAGAGGGCGAAUAGAUCAGAAACAUGCCCGCAGUCACAAAACUAAAUGAGUAGAAUGUUUCGGAUACAUCUGAAUCCCUUUCUAGUUCUUUAGGUCGGAGCUGAAUAGAAAUGCUUAGGAGAAUCAACGAAUAGAAUUAGAGGAAUAAUUCCUACAAAUAUAGCAAGAACAGCUAAUUUCGCUCGCGUGAUUCUUUAUAUAUAUAUAUAUAUAUAUAUAUAUAUAUAUAUAUAUAUAUACACACACACAUGAGGAAAGAUAAGACAUGGACGUGACGUAUACGUGCACAACAAAAAAACUUGGGCAGGAUUUUGUUCAUAGUCAAGUUUGACCACCAAAACACUAUUCCUUAGGAGAACGAUGUCUGCCAAAGAAUUGAUCGGUGUGGAGUCCUUGUCGUCCUCUAGAAAUGAUACAGCCGCCUAGAAGAAGAUAAGAUGAAGAAAGGAUCACUCAUUUGGUUCUUUGAACUUUCCAUCGAAUGAGAAGAGUGCAACACUUGCCUUUCUCUUUUAGAAGGAAAAGCUUGCGUUCAAAGACAGCAAUUGCUCCCUUAAUUUUACAGCUCACCGUGCAUCGAUUGCAUUAAUCCUAUCGUGAUUCUUCCAAGAAAUAGAGGAAUUGCAGUGGUUUAGGAUGCUUGCUUGCAUCCCAUUUUUUGACCUUAAUAUUAAGUUCCCUCUGAGAAGAUUGGAGAGAGAGAGAGAGAGA
This 1294-nucleotide long non-coding RNA is filed under the name Musa acuminata (dwarf banana). RNAcentral's name for it is "long non-coding RNA (MACU_LNC004956)". Lineage: Eukaryota; Viridiplantae; Streptophyta; Magnoliopsida; Zingiberales; Musaceae. The record is from RNAcentral.